This is a long non-coding RNA of Passer domesticus (house sparrow), 3765 nucleotides long. RefSeq lists it as uncharacterized. The record is from RefSeq and is a predicted model, not a curated record. NCBI's taxonomy places the organism in Eukaryota, Metazoa, Chordata, Aves, Passeriformes, Passeridae. The transcript has 2 exons.
CCGCACCUCCCGCACACGUAACGAGGUGCGGUGACGGCGCCCGUCGCCACCAGUGACCUGGAAAGUUCUGGGCUCAGUCCCUGACCUUGCUUUCCCUUCUGGAGAAGCGCACAGUCACAGUGCCAGGCGAUGCCCGACACUGGAAGGCUGCUGUGAGGCCUGAACACAACCUUCUCUCCUCGGGGCUGAACAACCCAGCUCUCAGCCUGUCCUCACACGGGAGGUGUUCCAGUCCCCUCACCAACUUCGUGGCAUCCUCUGGACUUGCUCCAACAGCUCCAUGUCUUUCUUAUAUCAGGGGUACCAGAACUGCGUGUCAUAUUCCAGUGGGGAAUCCUCACUACAGCAGAAGAUCUGGAUCUGGAAGAGCAUUCAAGAAUUGUUGGAAUCUUCCUUUGAUACCAUCUGGACUUUUACUGCUCACUAAAUGUCAAAAACGGCUUUUGAAAAAGUAUAGAUUGGAAACCAAAAUUUCCACUGACUCCAGGACUUAGGAGUAAACAGGAGAACCUGCUUUGUUGUUGUAAGGCCAGUGGAGGGAUCUUGUGGAGAGUGCUGGGAAGCAGGGUGAUAAAGCACUGAAUAUGUUCUGUUCCCUCAGUCAUCAAAUCCUCCCUGAGUGACUCAUUCCAUGUGAAUUUUGUAUUCCUUACAACAGCCAAAAGCAAGUCACUCUAGGGAAAUAUGACAAUAUUUGGUUGUUGAGUAUUCUCUUUGCUUCCAGUAGCUGAAGGACUUUCCAAGCUCUGAGGGGCAUAACCAUAGUUUGAUUUCUCUUCCAUGAAUCUAACCUUGACCCCAUGUAAAUUUUAGGCAUCCAUAACAUUUUGGUGUGAAUAAAACUUAGUCCCUAAAUAUCUAGAACUAAUCAAUCCUUUAAGCAGUUUUAUUGACUUCUGAACUCUCACAGCAGCACUUAAUUUGACAAUUAAUUUAAUUUACCUCCUUCCAGUGCUAGUAUCUUUACUCAAAGCAGUGCACAAGAUUUUCCCAUCACUUGAAUUCUUCAUUAGGUUCAAUGCAUGACAUGAAAUAACAAUAUGCAGGAGGCUCUACAGCAAGAUCAGUGAUAUGGUGAGGGCUGAAAGAAAUUGGAUCAGGAGGGUUUAAAGAUGAAUUAAGGAAGAAAUGGGCACAAUACAGAAAGCGAGUGACUUUACUCCAGUUGUUGAUGUUGAGAUGAAAAGUAAGAAUACAGAUAUAAGAAUAUAGAUAAAACUUCACAGUAAAAGUCUUCUAUCUUCUUGAUCCACAGACAUUUAAACUGUCACAAAUGUGUGAUCACUUCAAUUGAGAUGAAAUGUGGUUGAUGCAUACACACACAAAAAUUCAAGACUCCUUGGUGAAUUAGUGACAGUCACAUUUUUAAGUGAAACAUCAGUGCUUUCUGGUACUAAGUAUUAAAUUUAAAAACCUCAGGGAUUGCUCAUUUACAGUAGGUAAUGCCCAUGAGCAUGGUGGAUUUUCAUGACCUGAAAUCAGAGGUUGACUUGUGUACUCUGCUGCAGCCAGCUCAACUUCUUUGCAGAAGCUAACAUCUGGGCAAAAAUUAGCAGAAGUAUCGGUUUCAAUUAAUAUUUUGUUUUACAACUCAACCCAAAUUGUCAGUGACAGAACUAGGCCUUAAGUGCUACAUGGGAAUUAGCUUUCCUAAAAAUUCAGCAACUGAACAGACCUGAGCAGAUGACCCACAACUCAUCUGUGAAAUACUCAGCUUGGGGAAAUAAUUUGUUUAACUGUGACCCAAAUAAUGAAGUAUACAGUGUUAGUUGUCAAUUAGUGCUGUACCACAGAGCAAGCAGAAUGUUAUGCAGAGCAAGAAGCUGCUUAUAAAGUAAUAGAGGUAUCUAUUAUGGGUUCUAACUAACCUCCCCAUCUUUUUUAAGGAUUUAAAUAUAACUCUUUCUUGUCAAAUCAUUUGAUGAACUCUAUUACUGAUGUUGGAAGGUGAUGACUGUCAGCCAAGAACUACAUUAGAGUCCAUAAUUGAAUUUCAAGAGUUGUCAAGAGCAGGCUAAUCAAAUACCUGCUACUAGAAGUAAAACAUUAAAGAAAGAAAAAAAAUUCAAGUUCUCUUCUGGCAGGAUGCAAAGUAUGUUGUAUAGUUUCCCUGUCAUUUCUAAUUGUACGUUCAAUUUUUCUCGGCUACCUUUGCCUGACAUUCUUCUCUUGUAUAAUAAUGAUUCAUUAUAUAUAAUGUAUUCAAUGACUGUAACUCACCUCUUAGUGCCCAAAAAUAUGACUGCAGCAGACAUUUGCAUUGUAAAACAAAAGCAUAACACCAGGGUUUAUGAAGGAUCCUUUUAUAUUAGUUUCUUGACAGGAAUGCUAGAUUUUUUUUUUUCUGAAGUAAAAUACUGACCCCAAAAUAAUCUUAAAAAUCUAGCACAGAAAACAAUUAACAGCUCUUCUUCCCUGUGCUUAGGAAUUUGAUAAUUUUAGGGAGAGCUGGGGGGAAAAAUAUUCCUUGGCCAUUUAAGGAGAGUGAAGAACUGCACUCACUGUACUGCACUCACUGUACUGAUCAUUAAACCCAUGGCCUGCAGUGUGGAAGUUUUAGCAGUGUUCAGGCUAUGUGAAGGGUGGGCUGUGGUCCAAAAAUACAGAAAUGCAGGCAGUGCUCCCAAACAGUGCUGAGUAAAAUGGAGAUGAUGCUCCCUGAGCCCUCAGUUAAAUAUAGUGGUUGUUCAUGACAGCAGGGAGUGCAACAGGAAGGCUGCCCUGAAUUAAUUUUUCCUACCUGCUAUUCCAUGCCUGUUCUUGGGCAAGGCAUUUAUUUUCUCCUCACUGCUUUUAUUCACCUUUUUUAUUCCUAAUUGCACCAGGACACUGGGGGGACAGACAGAACCAGGUAGUACCUUUGGUUCUGCCUUUAGCUGCUCUCAAAGGAAAUAUGAGCACAGCUAUACCUUCAGUUUCAUAGUUAUUUACACUUUAACACCACACAGCACUCCUGAGCUAAAUGGAAUCGAUUCUUUGCUGCUACUGUAUAACCUAGAGAACAACAGCAACAACAGUAACACCUGCAGGUUUGCAAAAUGUUUUAUUAUAGUAAAACACACCAUACACCGAGGAGAAUCAAUGGUUAUAUUUUAUCUGUCCCAUCAAAGCAAAAUACCUUUGUAAUAUUUCCCACUGGCUUAAAAAGGAAAUGCUAAUAGAAAUAAUUUCAUUAUUAAAAAUAUAUAAUGCUUUCUAUUUAUUUUGUUCUAUAUUAGAAAGGCAAAUAUUGAGAUGAUGAUAUGGCUUAAAUAUAUUAAAAUUUUUCCUCUGGGGAGCUUGUCUUCAUCUCUAGCUAGACCACACAUGGAAUGAGUUCAGGAAACUCUGCAUGACAGCAGGUAUCAACCCACAUUAGGUGUAAAUUUGGUAUCUUCAACCAGAGUGUCUGAGUUUGACAAGAAGAAGAAGAAAAGUCUUGGAUACCUAUUCUACAAAGUUUUUCUUCUCCUGCAUAUUAAAAUGUCUCCAGUAUAUUUUCUUCCUAUUUUUUUUCCUCUAGAUAAUGACAAAUUUGUCUUCCCUUGUUUUAACCAUCACAUGGUAAAGAACAGACCACCACCUUAUCACACAAACUCAUUUUAGCUUAGUGGAAUUAAUCACCAUGGCUGGUUCUUAAAAAUUCUGGGAGAAGUGAAGGAAUGGGAGAGAAAGAGUGACUCCAGAGAGCAAUUCAGAUUUCCACCAUUAACACACCUGCACUGAAUUACCCCCUGGAGAAGCCCCUCUCUCUCUCCACUAGCUACACUAAAAACCCAGGAAGAC